Molecule: unclassified non-coding RNA, 335 nt
Filed under: Hevea brasiliensis (rubber tree)
Lineage: Eukaryota; Viridiplantae; Streptophyta; Magnoliopsida; Malpighiales; Euphorbiaceae
Source: RNAcentral
CGUCGUAGCGCACCGGCGACAGCCACGGCAGCACGCGCUUCAGGACCACGUUCGCGAGCGGCGAGACAUGACGCACAUACAGAUCGAUCGGAUCGAGCUGGUGCCGCAGGUGGAGUUUNGGCCGCUGCUGCGAAACCAUUUGUAGCCGCCCGCAAUGGCCCAGUUGAUCGUGUCACGAACCACGCAGAAAUACAGAUGCAGAUUGAGCGCAACGGAAUAGUCGAAGCCGACAUACUCCGAGAAGAAAUGUUCGCCCUGGACCAUGCAGAUGUUGAAGGCCACCAGCGUAUUGCCGCGGUGCCAUGUGAAGACACGGACCUUGUCCUUCAUCCGUG